UAACAUCCCAAAAUUCAAGACCAAAAAUUUCUUUUUAAUAAAACAUUACUUUAAACAAAGACAUCAUUCCAAAACAUAAUCUGAGUAUAAGUUUUCAAAACACUUGUUUAUUAUCAGAGUAAACAUUCCCAGGCUGACUAAUUUAUAGUGUGUGCCAUGCGAUCACCCCGAGCUCCUCCCUCCGCUACCGGAAGUACCUGAAAACAAAACUGAAAACCGUAAGCACGAAGCUUAGUGAGUUCCCCACCUUACCACAUACCACGCAAAAACACAUACUGCACAUUCUGGGCCACGCCCGCUAUCCUGGGCCUCGCCCUUCUACUUCGGGCCUCGCCCGCUAUAACGGCCCCGCCGCUCCAGGCCCCGCCUGGCUUCGAGCCCCGCUCGGAUACAGAUCUGUUUCACUUAGGCCUCGCCUGUCACAGGGCCUCGCCCACUAACAUAUAAUAGCACAUAAACAUAUCACAUAGCAUUACAUAAGCUAAACAUAUACUAACGACUCUUGCUCUAAGGCCUCGCCUAUCUCUGGGCCCCGCCCGAGUCCUGCUACUGAUGAGUCAUGGAACCUCGUCCAUACUCCUGCUGAUAGUGAGGUUCGGGCCCAGCCCACCCUCACUCCUUUCCUAACUUGGGCCUCGCCCCUGCUCUGCUGCUACUGAGAUGUGGAACACCAUCCACACUCUGCUAUUGGUGAGAUACGGGACCUCGCCCUCUCUCACCUCCCUACCAGGCACAUACAAGUAUCACACAGACAACAAGUAUAAACUAUCACAUAAACCGCUCCUUGGGCACCCGCCCUCUGUCAUUGGACCUCGUCCAAAUAUCAUACUAGCAUACUGUGCCUAGGGCUAACCCCCGGGUCUUCUACUCAUAACUACAUGGGCCGGCAUUGUGGCCGUAGACCCAUUCAUACAAAGGGAAACUCACCUGAUACUGCUGAACUGCUGCUGCUAACCCCUUUGACCGCUACCUGACCGCUAACUCCGAACUGCUGCUCCGCUAGCUCCCCGAGCUACCAAUAACAACCCAACACUUAGUCUAACUGACCUCCAAAGGUCAACCAAGUCAACUCUGGUCAAAGUCAAUGUCCUGGUCAAAGUCAACCUUCCAGGUCAACCCUACUCGCCGAGUCACCCUACUGACUCGCCGAGUUCAUAAGUCCAGAGUCCUUCCACUCGCGACUCUACUCGCCGAGUCAGCCCCUGACUCGCCGAGUUUACUGAUUCCCGAUUCCUGUCCUGACCAACUCACUGAGUCCUGGCUCGACUCGCUGACUCGAGUCUUAACUCGAAGGGUUUGGGACCACUCGACCUGACUCGCCGAGUCUAAGAACAGACUCGCCGAGCACACGACAAACUUCAUCCAACUCGACGAGUUGUUCAUCCAACUCGCCGAGUUCAUGCCCAUCUUCAUCCGACUCGACGAGCUGUUCAUCCCACUCGUCGAGUUCCUCCUCAUCUUCAAGCUACUCGCCGAGUCCACUCGAAGGACUCGUCGAGUCCACUAAGAUCCACUUACAUGCAGAGGACUUCCGAGUCAUGCAUGAGCUCCAAACUAUAGAUCUACCCUCCCCAAGCCUAUUUCCCACGUAAAGUUGCAAACUUUACGUGUAGAGAGUGAGAUCUAGGCAAAAUACACCCAUAGCUAGGGUUUAGGACCAAGAGACUCCAAUUUCCACCCAAUGGCUGAUACUUUAUGGGAUUACAUACCAAAAUAAACAUGGAUCUGAGGUAGCAACCUCAGAUCUGGACCUCAAGCUCAAGAUUGGUCUUAAACAUGGCUUAAAAGCCCCAAAACUCAUAACCAAGGAAAAAUAUGGAGGAGAGAAACGAAUUGAUACCUUCCAAUGCUCUGAAAUGCUUCCCAAACUUCAGAUCCAAAGCCACUCCCUGAUGCUUCAAGGAUUCCCACUCCUUCUUCUUCCUUAAACCCACUCAAAAAUGGCUAGAAGCUUGAAUGAACACAAUGGGGGCUUAAGGUGCGGCGUUCUGGGUGCAAGAGGCUGUAAAGGAGCCCUAGGAAGAAGAUUAAGAUGCUUAAAUAGGCUCCAAGCCCCGGAUUUAGGGUUUUCCUCGCACAGACCAGACUCGCCGAGUCCACUUGGCCGACUCGUCGAGUUGGUCACUUUCUUAUCGACCCGGAUCCCGCUCCGACUCGCCGAGUCCUUCCUUUGACUCGUCGAGUCCCUCUUAAAUUUAGGGUUUCCUUUACUUUCUUGGCUUUCAAAAUCCUGGGUGUUACAACUCUCCCCCACUUAAACUGAACUUCGUCCUCGAAGUUUACCAUGGCCCACCGCCUGCGAUCUGCCUCCAAUACCCAACACCAGCCGCCUACCUGCGCUGGUCUUCCACCGAAUACUGCACUGAACCCACAGGGGUUCUCCACUUCUUUCCUUGCGCAAAUCCCUUGCCUUCCCAAGGCAAAGUCUCAUUUCCGACUUUUCCUUUGACACUGUGAAGGUCCUAUCCUUCACUAACUCCAUCAUCUCCCUGCUAUUUCCAGGACGGGUCAUCGCCGUCAGCACUCACUGACACUCCUUCCUGCCAACACUUGGUGUCGAGCACCCCUCGACUCAACUAACUGAAGUCCACCAUACGCUGCAUACUCGCACUGCCACCGACUGGCAAUUCAAUUAUUCCCCGACUGACUUCCUGAUAAACCGGGACCGCCCUGGUCCCUACCAACCUAUCAAUGACUGGAUUACCGGUUCCCACCGGUAGCUAGUCCCAACACCAUCACUGGUCGCUCUCAGCGACUUCCAAGGAUACCUCGACCAUCUAUAACUGCUCAAUCAGUCCUGCCAUCCAGGCACUACAAACCUGGGAUCCCCGAUCCCUUAACCUGACACUAAGAUCCCGACCAGGUCCCACCUGCGCUGCUAAAAACUCACGGGCCUUGCCCACAGGUCUCACCCGCCUCUAUCCUUCUAGUUGCACUAGUCUAGUCACUCUCGCUCGGCCUCGCCCACGGGUCUCACCCAACCAUACUACUGAGCAACCCUGCUCCCAGGUCUCACCUGCACCGCUAAUCUCAUACGGGCCUCGCCCACGGGUCUCACCCAACUAUAUACUGGAGCGGCCUCUCCCAAGGUCUCACCUCCCUAGAGCUAUACAGGCAACUCCCUACUACUCUCAUCCACUACCCAUUCCUGAUCCCUACCUGAUCACUAGGAGAUAAGGGCCUCGCCCCGACUCCGCUAACGAAACUACUAAGGAAUGCUACGGCUUACCCGUAGUCUUACAUCACCAACCAUUGCCGACUGCUAGUGAAUGCUACGGCUGCCCCGUAGUCUUACAACACUUCCUACCACUGACUGCUAAUACGAAGGCACCCACGUGCCAUCGACUUCUCAAGAUCCUUAUUCCGACUCCCGCGAGUCCUUCAGGCGAUCCACAAUCUGAAUUCUCAAUCAUAACCAACCAUACCAUCCCACGCGCUAGCUGAUAUGGAGUUUCUCAAACUCCCAACCCUGGAAUCCUCAAUCCAUCAAACGUUGAACUACUUCUCUUCCCUCUCGGAGGUCACGUACUCGUUCUGGGUCUGCGUGCUCCCCUCUGGGCACAUCUGGAGGAUUCUCCCCCACUUCGAUCCUGCUUACCCCUUGCUGCUCAAUAUUCAAAGAAAUCCCGAUCCUUGCUACCAUUCCAUAACCCAUCCACUGAGGAACCCAAGCCCGCCAUAGCUAGGGCUUUAGCCAAUCCAUCACAAUCACUGCACCACUCCGAACUAACGAAACGAACCAAAUCCCUCCCAAGCAUGCUACAGUUACUGCAUCCUUCGAAACCUUCUUCAAUAGAGCACAUCCCCCUAACUACCAUACAAAUAUCCAAGGUAUGCAGAUGGCAUAUAACUCGAUCACAAUCAACCAAUCAAAAUAAAAUACUCAUACCGAUAAUGAUGCAGAACCAUAACAAUGAAAUCAUGCACAAAAUAAAAGAACUGAGAAUGGAAAUUGCAUACCUGCAACAUCCGGCGAUGCUCGCGUCUCCAAAGUCGUCAUCUGGAAAGCCCUGCUCCCUGCUGCAGGUGCCUCUACCCGGCCCUGACGGCCAUCUGCGAUCCUCAAGGUUGCAGGGGCGGGUGCCAUCACCCGUCCUGCUGAAGACAAACUGGGGCACUGGGCCUUCUUGUGGCCCCGCUGGUUGCAAUGAAAACAUAUCAUGUCUGAUCCCUGCGCGGCGGUAACAGUACAAUCCCUGCUAAAAUGACCAGUCCGACCGCACUUGAAGCAGCCAGACUCACCACCGCUACCACUCCUGCACGCGCCCCCGUGCACCUUGCCACACUUCCCAUAUCGGCUACGGUCUUGAUAAUCCCUCGAUCUCGAAUCCGAUCCCUUGGGCCUUUUGCCCGAACCCGCUGAUACCUGAACCUCAUCCGGCUUCCUCUUCCGGAUCUGCUCCAAAUCAAUUUCCCUUUCCCUAGCCCGAGAAAUCAUAUCUUCCAGCGUCUUACAGCUGGACCUGCUCACGAACUCCCUGAUGUCGUCCCUCAACAUCUCAUGGUACCGAGCCUUCUUCAUCUCCUCAUCCGCUACAUACUGCGGUACAAGAAGAGCCCUCUCCCUGAACUUGGCGGUGAUCUCCGCCACAGUCUCAGUAGUCUGCGUCAAAUCCUGAAACUCUCGUGCCAGCUGCUGCACCUCAAUAAUCGGCGAAAACUCCGCCCUGAACCUGGCCGAGAAAUCGCUCCAAGUCAUCGCGUCCAACGCGGCAUCAUCCCCCAAAGCAUGACCAAUCUCCUCCCACCAAUCCCUCGCUCUGUCCUUCAGAAGACAGGAGGCGAGUCUAACCUUGUCCCCCUCGGGACACUUGCUCGUACGAAAAGCGUUGGCAACAUCAGCCAACCAUCUGCUGCUAGCAAUGGGGUCCCUAGCCCCAUGAUAAUCUGGUGCCCCGCAGGCUCUGAACUCUCGAAAUGUCAAGGUACGCGCUCCCAUCAAUGCCAUCAUCUCAGUACGGAAGGCUCCCAGCCUCUCCUCCAAGAUCUCCAGUAUGCCCUCCUUGACUGUGCCAAAGAUCACAGGAGUCUGAGCUAGAAUACUGCGCGUAACCUCAGCUGAUAUCAACUCCCUCAUCCGCUCCUCGAGCUGCUCGGUCCCUGAACCCGAGGCUGAUCCCUCUCCGGCGCCUGAUCCGCCCGCUGGUCUCUCUCGCAAUGUCACCAUGCUGAAAAUAUACCACAACCACAAUCAGAAUACCCAUCAUUGAUACAAGAUCAAACAUGCCCUACCAGGUUCCCGGUCUUGCCUCUGCCCUUCCUGAAUCGAGUACGGAUCCUCUGCUUUCAGUAGUACGGGCCCAUACUACCUUCCACAUCUAUCCGUACUUUCCUCAGGAAUUGCUUUGACUCCACCAGGUCCCUUAACCACUCAUACUGCUCCCAACUCUAUCUCAUCCUAGGCUUACCCUAGGGAAACCUCUAACUCAACUCAAACCAGUCCUCAGCUGCUGAAGGUCUCCUUGUGAUGCCAAUUAGCCAUCACCUGGAUACCAUCACAUGCGACGAGGCUCAGAUAAUCCUUCAAGUAAAAGACUCGUCCCUACAACGGUUGGACUCAAACAAGAGCUGCGCAAUAGGGCCAAAUCCAGCACUCUGAGAUUAUUCAACCCUGAUCACAUGUGACGUGACGUAUCCACCUAAUGGCUAACUCCCAUCACUCAAAAUCCCAUAAUGCACAAAGCAAGCAGCAUUCGGACAAGGGGAAAAUCUAACCACAACAUACUCAAACAAUCAUAUCCACAUAGCAAGAAUCUGAACUAGCAUGCAACACAAACUCAUAAACUCAGGCAUAACCUAAACAGGCUAUCCUACUACUGUCUAAUCAGCACUAUCAUGCAGCUCAAAAGCACAAAUAACAGGCACAUAAGGCAUCAUUCCUAGAUCCUUAGUCCUAUUCUAGCAUGCUGUUCUAUCAACUGAUAAUCAUAACAUAAACUUGUAUGGGUAUUUUGGGGUACUUACUUGAGCUCGGUUGAUUGCAUGCACCACACCUCUUUUCUCUUUUCAAAGUUCUUUUCUUUCUAGAUUCUUUUUGCUUUUCUAAAACUGUUUUUCAUUCUCAAAAUUCUUUUUACAAAACUGUCUUUUCACAUUUUGAAAACUUUUCAUCCGACCCCUCAGUUUGAGUUCAGGCACACCCGAGAGUAUGCCCGAAUCCCUCAAACCAAGGCUCUGAUACCAACUUGUAACAUCCCAAAAUUUAAGACCAAAAAUUUCUUUUUAAUAAAACAUUACUUUAACCAAAGACAUCAUUCCAAAACAUAAUCUGAGUAUAGGUUUUCAAAACACAUGUUUAUUAUCAGAGUAAACAUUCCCAGGUUGACUAAUCUAUGGUGUGUGCCAUGCGAUCACCCCGAGCUCCUCCCUCCGCUACCGGAAGUACCUGAAAACAAAACUGAAAACCGUAAGCACGAAGCUUAGUGAGUUCCCCACCUUACCACAUACCAUGCAAAACCACAUACUGCACAUACUGGGCCACGCCCGCUAUCCUGGGCCUCGCCCUCUACUUCGGGCCUCGCCCGCUACAACGGCCCCGCCGCUCCAGGCCCCGCCUGGCUUCGAGCCUCGCUCGGAUACAGAUCUGUUUCACUUAGGCCUCGCCUGUCACAGGGCCUCGCCCUCUAACAUAUAAUAGCACAUAAACAUAUCACAUAACAUUACAUAAACUAAACAUAUACUAACAACUCUUGCUCUAAGGCCUCGCCUAUCUCUGGGCCCCGCCCGAGUUCUGCUACUGAUGAGUCAUGGAACCUCGUCCAUACUCCUGCUGAUAGUGAGGUUCGGGCCCAGCCCACCCUCACUCCUUUCCUAACUUGGGCCUCGCCCCUGCUCUGCUGCUACUGAGAUGUGGAACACCAUCCACACUCUGCUAUUGGUGAGAUACGGGACCUCGCCCUCUCUCACCUCCCUACCAGGCACAUACAAGUAUCACACAGACAACAAGUAUAAACUAUCACAUAAACCGUUCCUUGGGCACCCGCCCUCUGUCAUUGGACCUCGUCCAAAUAUCAUACUAGCAUACUGUGCCUAGGGCUAACCCCCGGGUCUUCUACUCAUAACUACAUGGGCCGGCAUUGUGGCCGUAGACCCAUUCAUACAAAGGGAAACUCACCUGAUAUUGCUGAACUGCUGCUGCUAACCCCUUUGACCGCUACCUGACCACUGACUCCGAACUGCUGCUCCGCUAGCUCCCCGAGCUACCAAUAUCAACAUAACACUUAGUCUAACUGACCUUCAAAGGUCAACCAAGUCAACUCUGGUCAAAGUC
RNAcentral lists this long non-coding RNA (7270 nucleotides) under Lactuca sativa (garden lettuce). Its description in RNAcentral is "long non-coding RNA (LSAT_LNC004633)". The record is from RNAcentral. Lineage: Eukaryota; Viridiplantae; Streptophyta; Magnoliopsida; Asterales; Asteraceae.